This 440-nucleotide ribosomal RNA is filed under the name uncultured bacterium. RNAcentral describes it as "partial 16S ribosomal RNA". It matches the Rfam family "Bacterial small subunit ribosomal RNA", at positions 338 to 795 of the family's 1533-position model. The record is from RNAcentral.
CCUACGGGUGGCAGCAGUGGGGGAUAUUGCACAAUGGGGGAAACCCUGAUGCAGCGACGCCGCGUGGGUGAAGAAGCGCCUCGGCGCGUAAAGCCCUGUCAGCAGGGAAGAAAAUGACGGUACCUGAAGAAUAAGGCCCGGCUAACUACGUGCCAGAAGCCGCGGUAAUACGUAGGGGGCACGCGUUAUCCGGAUUUACUGGGGGUAAAGGGGGCGCAGACGGCGAUGCAAGCCAGGAGUGAAAGCCCGGGGCCCAACCCCGGGACUGCUCUUGGAACUGCGUGGCUAGAGUGCAGGAGGGGCAGGCGGAAUUCCUGGUGUAGCGGUGAAAUGCGUAGAUAUCAGGAGGAACACCGGUGGCGAAGGCGGCCUGCUGGACUGCAACUGACGUUGAGGCCCGAAAGCGUGGGGAGCAAACAGGAUUAGAUACCCGGGUAGUC